This 2525-nucleotide ribosomal RNA is filed under the name Escherichia coli. RNAcentral's name for it is "partial 23S ribosomal RNA". It matches the Rfam family "Bacterial large subunit ribosomal RNA", at positions 419 to 2925 of the family's 2925-position model. Lineage: Bacteria; Pseudomonadati; Pseudomonadota; Gammaproteobacteria; Enterobacterales; Enterobacteriaceae. The record is from RNAcentral.
GGGACACGUGGUAUCCUGUCUGAAUAUGGGGGGACCAUCCUCCAAGGCUAAAUACUCCUGACUGACCGAUAGUGAACCAGUACCGUGAGGGAAAGGCGAAAAGAACCCCGGCGAGGGGAGUGAAAAAGAACCUGAAACCGUGUACGUACAAGCAGUGGGAGCCUCUUUAUGGGGUGACUGCGUACCUUUUGUAUAAUGGGUCAGCGACUUAUAUUCUGUAGCAAGGUUAACCGAAUAGGGGAGCCGAAGGGAAACCGAGUCUUAACUGGGCGUUAAGUUGCAGGGUAUAGACCCGAAACCCGGUGAUCUAGCCAUGGGCAGGUUGAAGGUUGGGUAACACUAACUGGAGGACCGAACCGACUAAUGUUGAAAAAUUAGCGGAUGACUUGUGGCUGGGGGUGAAAGGCCAAUCAAACCGGGAGAUAGCUGGUUCUCCCCGAAAGCUAUUUAGGUAGCGCCUCGUGAAUUCAUCUCCGGGGGUAGAGCACUGUUUCGGCAAGGGGGUCAUCCCGACUUACCAACCCGAUGCAAACUGCGAAUACCGGAGAAUGUUAUCACGGGAGACACACGGCGGGUGCUAACGUCCGUCGUGAAGAGGGAAACAACCCAGACCGCCAGCUAAGGUCCCAAAGUCAUGGUUAAGUGGGAAACGAUGUGGGAAGGCCCAGACAGCCAGGAUGUUGGCUUAGAAGCAGCCAUCAUUUAAAGAAAGCGUAAUAGCUCACUGGUCGAGUCGGCCUGCGCGGAAGAUGUAACGGGGCUAAACCAUGCACCGAAGCUGCGGCAGCGACGCUGAUGCGUUGUUGGGUAGGGGAGCGUUCUGUAAGCCUGCGAAGGUGUGCUGUGAGGCAUGCUGGAGGUAUCAGAAGUGCGAAUGCUGACAUAAGUAACGAUAAAGCGGGUGAAAAGCCCGCUCGCCGGAAGACCAAGGGUUCCUGUCCAACGUUAAUCGGGGCAGGGUGAGUCGACCCCUAAGGCGAGGCCGAAAGGCGUAGUCGAUGGGAAACAGGUUAAUAUUCCUGUACUUGGUGUUACUGCGAAGGGGGGACGGAGAAGGCUAUGUUGGCCGGGCGACGGUUGUCCCGGUUUAAGCGUGUAGGCUGGUUUUCCAGGCAAAUCCGGAAAAUCAAGGCUGAGGCGUGAUGACGAGGCACUACGGUGCUGAAGCAACAAAUGCCCUGCUUCCAGGAAAAGCCUCUAAGCAUCAGGUAACAUCAAAUCGUACCCCAAACCGACACAGGUGGUCAGGUAGAGAAUACCAAGGCGCUUGAGAGAACUCGGGUGAAGGAACUAGGCAAAAUGGUGCCGUAACUUCGGGAGAAGGCACGCUGAUAUGUAGGUGAAGCGACUUGCUCGUGGAGCUGAAAUCAGUCGAAGAUACCAGCUGGCUGCAACUGUUUAUUAAAAACACAGCACUGUGCAAACACGAAAGUGGACGUAUACGGUGUGACGCCUGCCCGGUGCCGGAAGGUUAAUUGAUGGGGUCAGCGCAAGCGAAGCUCUUGAUCGAAGCCCCGGUAAACGGCGGCCGUAACUAUAACGGUCCUAAGGUAGCGAAAUUCCUUGUCGGGUAAGUUCCGACCUGCACGAAUGGCGUAAUGAUGGCCAGGCUGUCUCCACCCGAGACUCAGUGAAAUUGAACUCGCUGUGAAGAUGCAGUGUACCCGCGGCAAGACGGAAAGACCCCGUGAACCUUUACUAUAGCUUGACACUGAACAUUGAGCCUUGAUGUGUAGGAUAGGUGGGAGGCUUGGAAGUGUGGACGCCAGUCUGCAUGGAGCCGACCUUGAAAUACCACCCUUUAAUGUUUGAUGUUCUAACGUUGACCCGUGAUCCGGGUUGCGGACAGUGUCUGGUGGGUAGUUUGACUGGGGCGGUCUCCUCCUAAAGAGUAACGGAGGAGCACGAAGGUUGGCUAAUCCUGGUCGGACAUCAGGAGGUUAGUGCAAUGGCAUAAGCCAGCUUGACUGCGAGCGUGACGGCGCGAGCAGGUGCGAAAGCAGGUCAUAGUGAUCCGGUGGUUCUGAAUGGAAGGGCCAUCGCUCAACGGAUAAAAGGUACUCCGGGGAUAACAGGCUGAUACCGCCCAAGAGUUCAUAUCGACGGCGGUGUUUGGCACCUCGAUGUCGGCUCAUCACAUCCUGGGGCUGAAGUAGGUCCCAAGGGUAUGGCUGUUCGCCAUUUAAAGUGGUACGCGAGCUGGGUUUAGAACGUCGUGAGACAGUUCGGUCCCUAUCUGCCGUGGGCGCUGGAGAACUGAGGGGGGCUGCUCCUAGUACGAGAGGACCGGAGUGGACGCAUCACUGGUGUUCGGGUUGUCAUGCCAAUGGCACUGCCCGGUAGCUAAAUGCGGAAGAGAUAAGUGCUGAAAGCAUCUAAGCACGAAACUUGCCCCGAGAUGAGUUCUCCCUGACUCCUUGAGAGUCCUGAAGGAACGUUGAAGACGACGACGUUGAUAGGCCGGGUGUGUAAGCGCAGCGAUGCGUUGAGCUAACCGGUACUAAUGAACCGUGAGGCUUAACCUU